CCUACGGGUGGCUGCAGUCGAGAAUCUUCCGCAAUGGGCGAAAGCCUGACGGAGCGACGCCGCGUGAUUGACGAAGUCCUUAGGGAUGUAAAGAUCUUUUAUGAGGGAGAAAGUAAUUGAUAGUACCUCAUGAAUAAGGGGUUGCUAAACUCGUGCCAGCAGCAGCGGUAAUACGAGUGCCCCAAGCGUUAUCCGGAAUCAUUGGGCGUAAAGGGUGUGUAGGCGGCUGUGUUAGUCUCAUGUUAAAGCUCCCGGCUUAACCGGGAAAUCGCAUGGGAAACGGCACAACUAGAAGAUGCAAGGGGUCUGCGGAACUCAUGGAGUAGGGGUGAAAUCCGUUGAUAUCAUGGGGAACACCGAAAGCGAAGGCAGCAGACUGGUGCACUCUUGACGCUGAAACACGAAAGCGUGGGUAGCGAAUGGGAUUAGAUACCCUGGUA
Molecule: ribosomal RNA, 440 nt
Filed under: uncultured bacterium
Lineage: Bacteria
Description: bacterial SSU rRNA
Rfam family: Bacterial small subunit ribosomal RNA
Source: RNAcentral